Molecule: transfer RNA, 72 nt
Filed under: Myxococcales bacterium
Lineage: Bacteria; Pseudomonadati; Myxococcota; Myxococcia; Myxococcales
Description: tRNA-Pro
Rfam family: tRNA
About the family: Transfer RNA (tRNA) molecules are approximately 80 nucleotides in length. Their secondary structure includes four short double-helical elements and three loops (D, anti-codon, and T loops).
Source: RNAcentral
CCGAGUGUAGUGCAGUAGCAGCACGCGCCGUUCGGGCCGGCGAAGUCGGAGGUGCAAUUCCUCCCACUCGGA